GCACUGCUGAGGAGUCCCAUGUCAGGACGAAACUGCCGUCCAGUGC
Schistosoma mattheei is the source of this 46-nucleotide non-coding RNA. Lineage: Eukaryota; Metazoa; Platyhelminthes; Trematoda; Strigeidida; Schistosomatidae. The record is from Rfam.